UGUUGGACAAAACAAGGGUUAAUACAGCACCUUAGUGUUUUUUUGUACAGCAUUUUGGUCAGCUUAAACUGUGUUUAAAUGUGCUCUAGAAAUAAACUUUACUUACUUACUUUACAAGAGACAGGGUUUAGAGAGCAAUUCUCAACAAAGUAAACAGAAGUACAUAAUCCUUAUGUGACUUAACCCACGUG
Long non-coding RNA from Sander lucioperca (pikeperch), 191 nucleotides. RefSeq lists it as uncharacterized. The transcript has 3 exons. Lineage: Eukaryota; Metazoa; Chordata; Actinopteri; Perciformes; Percidae. The record is from RefSeq and is a predicted model, not a curated record.